RNAcentral lists this ribosomal RNA (492 nucleotides) under uncultured bacterium. RNAcentral's name for it is "partial 16S ribosomal RNA". It matches the Rfam family "Bacterial small subunit ribosomal RNA", at positions 29 to 507 of the family's 1533-position model. The record is from RNAcentral.
AGUGAACGCUGGCGGCAGGCCUAACACAUGCAAGUCGAACGGCAGCACAGUAAGUGCCAGCUCUUACGGGUGGCGAGACGCGGACGGGUGACGUCUACACCGGUCCUUACUUUUUCGUGGGGGAUAACGUAGGGAAACUUACACUACUACCGCACACCACCUGCGGGCGAAAGCCGGGCAUCUUUCGACCUUUCGCGUUUGCAUGUGCCGAUGUCGGAUUAGCUAGUUGGAGGGGUAAAGGACGACCAAGGCGACGAUCCGUAGCUGGUCUGAGAGGAUGAUCAGCCACACUGGAACUGAGACACGGUCCAGACUCCUACGGGAGGCAGCAGUGGGGAAUAUUGGACAAUGGGCGAAAGCCUGAUCCAGCAAUGCCGCGUGGGUGAAGAAGGCCUUCGGGUUGUAAAGCACUUUUGUUGGGAAAGAAAAGCUGGGGGUUAAUACGCCGCUGUGCUGACGGUACCGAAAGAAUAAGCACCGGCUAACUACGUG